UUUUUUUGAGAAUUUGAUCCUGGUUCAGGAUGAACGCAGGGGGCGUUCCUUAGGCAUGCAAGUCGAACGGGGUCCGUAAGGACCAAGUGGCAGACGGGUGAGUAA
This 105-nucleotide ribosomal RNA is filed under the name Candidatus Gottesmanbacteria bacterium. RNAcentral describes it as "partial 16S ribosomal RNA". It matches the Rfam family "Bacterial small subunit ribosomal RNA", at positions 1 to 113 of the family's 1533-position model. Lineage: Bacteria; Candidatus Gottesmaniibacteriota. The record is from RNAcentral.